UUUAACUGCAACCAUAAAUUUACGUGUCCAACUUUAAUCGUCCAUCUUAUUUGAAAAUUUUUUAUAAUUACUAUUUUUGUUGUUAUGAGAUUAUAAAACAUGAAUAGUACUUUACUCGUGACUUAUGUUUUUAAUUUUUUUUAAAAAAUUUUAAAUAAGACAGAUGAUUAAAAUUGUUCGCGGAAAACCAUAGCUACACUUAAA
Non-coding RNA from Oryza barthii, 204 nucleotides. The record is from Rfam. NCBI's taxonomy places the organism in Eukaryota, Viridiplantae, Streptophyta, Magnoliopsida, Poales, Poaceae.